RNAcentral lists this ribosomal RNA (439 nucleotides) under uncultured bacterium. RNAcentral's name for it is "partial 16S ribosomal RNA". It matches the Rfam family "Bacterial small subunit ribosomal RNA", at positions 339 to 795 of the family's 1533-position model. The record is from RNAcentral.
CUACGGGAUGCUCCAGUGAGGAAUAUUGCGCAAUGAGCGAAAGCUAGACGCAGCAACGCCGCGUGAGCGAAGAAGGCCUUCGGGUUGUAAAGCUCUUUUCUGUGUGAAGAGAAGGACGGUAGCACAGGAAUAAGUGUCGGCUAACUACGUGCCAGCAGCCGCGGUAAAACGUAGGACGCAAGCGUUAUCCGGAUUUACUGGGCGUAAAGCGCGUGCAGGCGGUCAGUUAAGUUAUGCGUGAAAGCUCCCGGCUCAACCGGGAGAGGUCGUAUAAAACUGAUUGACUUGAAGGCAGCAGAGGCGUGUGGAAUUCCAGGUGUAGUGGUGAUAUGCGUAGAUAUCUGGAGGAACACCAGUGGCGAAGGCGACACGCUGGGCUGUACUUGACGCUAAGACGCGAAAGCGUGGGUAGCGAACGGGAUUAGAUACCCUAGUAGUC